AACUGAUACUACCUGCGGGAACCUGCGGAAGGAUCAUUACCGAGUGCGGGCCCUCGCGGCCCAACCUCCCACCCUUGUCUAUACACCUGUUGCUUUGGCGGGCCCACCGGGGCCACCCGGUCGCCGGGGGACAUCGUCCCCGGGCCCGCGCCCGCCGAAGCGCCCUGUGAACCCUGAUGAAGAUGGGCUGUCUGAGUACUAUGAAAAUUGUCAAAACUUUUAACAACGGAUCUCUAGAUC
Molecule: unclassified non-coding RNA, 240 nt
Filed under: soil metagenome
Description: partial contains 5.8S ribosomal RNA, internal transcribed spacer 2, and large subunit ribosomal RNA
Source: RNAcentral